Long non-coding RNA from Nematostella vectensis (starlet sea anemone), 2258 nucleotides. RefSeq lists it as uncharacterized. NCBI's taxonomy places the organism in Eukaryota, Metazoa, Cnidaria, Anthozoa, Actiniaria, Edwardsiidae. The transcript has 3 exons. The record is from RefSeq and is a predicted model, not a curated record.
AAUGAUGUCGGAUACUUGGUCAGCAGGUACAUGCAGGUGAUCUAGUGAUCGGGCGACAGGCUGGUGCCCACAAGAGAAAAAUCUUGUAAAGAUCACUCAGCGAGUAUUCUUUUGAGAAAAUGCGCUGACCAGCGAUACGGAUCAAAAGAUCCCCUCAGAACAUGAAGAUCGUUGGUCCCUUGUGUACCUUCUGCUCCAUCGUAAUCCUGGUGAGGUCAUCCCCAGUAAGGCGAAAGCCGCAUCUCAUCGACCAGGGCUUAUCUCUUGCAAGCUUUUACUCAAGUGGAAAACUCUCCGUAGGAUUUUUCAUCAGCAAACAAGCAAAGGGGCGCAUGCGCAGAGAUGUUGAGGCCAGCGGAAGCGGAAGUGGCUCAGGGUCUGGGACGAGCGGCGGAAGUGACGUUACGACAUUGGUAGCAAGAAGCAAGCUAUUUCGACCUCAAAGAAAACACCGGGCGAAACAUGGACGUUUUAUCCGAAAGGGACUAGAGCGCUUAAAAAAGAUACAUAAACAUUAAAGCGGAUUUGUCGUAUGUUACACAUCUCGUUUGCGAAAGACACUUUCGUUGCGGUAUCUCUAAUUCACGGCUCCUACCGUGCCGAAUGUAAUUGUCUAUUUUUAUAGACACAAAUACCUUUUGUACCUUGGGUUCGAAGUUGAUUCUGACGCCGCGCUCAAUAGGUUGUGACAUGCUCGAGGAUCCAGCGUAUUUUGCGGACCCCCCCCUUCCAGGAGGAACAUUUUUCCGUUUUCCCACAUAUUUUCGGUACCAUUAAAUAAAAAAUAAAGAGAGAAGGAGGAAAAGAAGAACGGCAACAACAAGAGAAACGCAAGCAAGAAAUUAGCUGCAAGCUGGUCAGAAAGUGGAGGGAAUAGGAAUUGGCUGAAAACAUUAAUUCAGAAUAAGUGAAGUUACUUAAUGUACAGAAUGUAUAUAGGGUAUAUAUAUACAGGUUUGCAUUGCAUAAUAUACAUUCUGUACAUUAAGUAAGGAAUUAUGCACAGUGAAAGCGUCUGAGAGCUUUUUCGAGCUGCCUCUUUGCUGUUCUUCGGUGCUGAAGUAUCUUCAAGUGAGAUAUGACUGUCACAGAAUGACGGGUACAUAACUCUCUCAGAAACAUAUGGGAUCAAAUUGAAACCUUUUUGGGUACGGUUAACUCUCACUAACAUAUAUGAUCAAACCGAAACCCUUCUUCAGUGCUCCAUUGGUCAAAAAUAUAAAUGUUGAUGAACAUUAAGAUGGAGUACUACCCCUAACGUGCAAUACCUCAACGUACCAAUACAGACUCAAGUUAAGUUCAAGUUUACGAUCAUAUUAGGCUUGAGAAACCCAAGACCAUGGCUCGCUUCACACCUAACGUCAAAUGUACCCGGCAAAGGGACUAGAUAUAAGUGAGUGACGAGUUAAGGUUCUCAACAACAUCCUUGUAAAUGAAGAACAUUGCCGCCGAAAGAGGGUUUGGCUUUUUGGUAGAUUUUCUAAACCUUAACUAUGGCGAAGAGAAAGUACAAAGAGAAAAAGCGGAGAAGAGAAUGUGAAAACCAAACCAGAAGGAAAACCAAGUAACAGUCCCGUUCUCUUGCGUUUCCUUUUCACUCUCUGCUUGCACUUCACGUUGAUUUUCUUUUUACCAACCCGCUUUUUCCUCAGUCGACUAACUUAGGUCCAAACUGAUGCUUUAUAACUAUCAGAUUUUUCAUAACUUUUAUUUAGGAUAACCAAGAAGGCGCAUGAAGAUCCAAGUGCCAUUUAUUUAUUGUGUUGUUCAUCCAGACGUGGUAACGUACAGGUGACCGUUGAAUACGGGUGGCUACCUUUCUUUACACAUUAGAGAUCGGAGUAAUCUAAACUAUUUGUUGGCUAUAAGUUAACGAUGCAAACUUAUAAUUUUAAAAUAAUAAUUAACAUUUCAAAUGCGCAGGACUUUGGAACAUUGAUUCCCAUUAUUAAAAAAAUUGGGGGGACUGGUGUUGCUUUUGCGUGCUCGGAGACCCAGCGGUUUUUUCGGGCGCUUCUCAAGGUCCCUACUUUUCCACGGAAAAAGAAAUUAAGCGCCGGUCCUAGAACAUGUCACUCUUGUGGUUCACAGAAAAAAAGGCUGCGAACUACAAUGAAAAGAGAGAUCUAGUCCUACAGAGCACAUUAAUCAGUGUCUAAUAAACAUGUUAUUGCCCUAUCCCUAUGAUUAACAAUAACAACUAUACACUUGUACAUAUUUAAGAAACAAUUAAAGCUGAAACAUGAGCUAGAAAAUGA